Molecule: long non-coding RNA, 5986 nt
Filed under: Musa acuminata (dwarf banana)
Lineage: Eukaryota; Viridiplantae; Streptophyta; Magnoliopsida; Zingiberales; Musaceae
Description: long non-coding RNA (MACU_LNC007635)
Source: RNAcentral
AAAUCCUCUCCUCUAUAAUAUUGGCAUACCCUUAGAUUUCCUUCGCUUCGUAAAGUCAACUACAAUGGAAAGAGUGAAAAAAGGAGAAUGGAAAGAGUGAAAAAAGGAGUUGAACCCAGUACUUGAUAGUUUCUUUCAUUUGAAUCUAGUUUAUGGAAUUUGGAUCUAGUACCCCAUUGCGAGGGAGUUGUUUUAUAGUCUCUGUCCCUUUCGUAUCGCCUUGACCGAAGAAAGAAAUCCGUUUUGCAAUGAUGAGGCUAAGGCACCUCACAUCAGACCUUGCUAACCUGCGAUACUAUCUAAUGGAUUGGUGGUUUAGGUUUCUCACUCACUUUGGUUUUAUGCCCUGCCUUUCUUUGACUUAUAACCAUAAGGUUAAUGGGCUUUGCCACACCUUAUCUUGAGAAACGAAAAGGCUGUUUAUUAGCGGCAUUGCUGAACCGAAUACUUCACCCCUUCCCUUAGUGGUAUGGGUGAAAGGAGUAGCUACCUAUUCCUUAGUGGGCUUAUGGGUGAAAGGAGUAGCUACCUAGAUGAAUAAAGGACUUACUUAUACCUUCCUUUGGCAACAUUAAAGAAAGCACUCUGCUCUAUAAAGCUAGCGAUACGAAUUCCCAUUGUUUCGUUCAAUUAUAUGGGCUACUUCAUUUUCAUUAUAGUACAAAAGCUUAAGCUGGGGAUGUUGUUCCUAUUAUGUGGGGAUGUUGUUCCUAUUAUGCAAUAAAAAGAGAACGCUGGGGAUGUUGUUCCUAUUAUGUAAUAAAAAGAGAACGCUGGGGAUGUUGUUCCUAUUAUGCAAUAAAAAGAGAACAAAGAAGCUCAACUGGAUUUCUAAGGUUAUAAAUGAUUCUAUUAAGUAGAAAAAUGAGAGUCCUGCAACGCUGGCGAGUUACCUCAUUGCAAGCAAGCACUGGUGCUACUGGAAUGGGCCUAUACCCAUAACCUUAGUAUCGGAAACCCGUGUAUGAGGUGAAGGUAAACCUACAAUUGGUCUUUGAACCUACUAUGAAUGCCAUUAAACCCACUCGGACAUCAGACAUUAGUUUACGCACCUAUAUAUCUUGUUUUGGAGAAAACUAAUACAUCAGUCAACAAGAAACAAAUACCUAAGUGAAAGAUUGCCUGUAAAGUAAUCUCGUGAAGAGGUAAUAUGGACCAUUAGAAGGAGCAAUAGGCUGGAUGAUCUAAGGUAAUAUGGACCAUUAGAAAGAGCAAUAGGCUGGAUCUCAUAAUAAGGACGAUAAUCAAAUAGCGGACACAACAAAGUACAAAAGCCUAGAAUAAGCUGUAAGUAUCUAAAAGGGCUUGGAGAAGACAACUCGCACCUCAACCAAUAAAAUGGGGAAUCGUUAUUCACCCGAUGAAUAAACUGCUUAAGAAAGAACUCACGACACAUGAUAGGAGCUCUAACCCUACCUAAUAAGAAUAAGGGGUUGUUUCAAUCCGCAUUCAAAAGGAGUCAUUUCGAAAAGCACUGUUAUUACACAAUGGAUUCAUUUCUCCUACUUUAUGCCGGAGUUAAGACAGCCUCCUUCCUAUUGGACAAUAGAUGAUGAUUGAACUCGCCCCCCGUAAAGUAUACCAGAGCACCAACUAUUCUGAAUUUCCAAUCAAAAGGAAGUGCUAGGAAUAAGGUCCCAGAUCCACAUAAUACGGUGGGUGCGAAUAAGAAAGAAGUGGGUGUGUGAAGAAAGUGGAUAAGAAGAAGAAAUUCCAGAAGUCAUGUUACCUGGAUGAGCUAAGGUAGCUCUAAGAAGUGGACAUCCGCUGUGUCUGCUGGAUUAAGGCGGAAUACUAUUCCCGUGAAAGAGGAAUCAUUGGCAGAAACACUUUAAGAAGCCCUAGAAAUAACGGAAUCGCUUGUUCAUUAAUGCCCUUAGAAGGAAUCAUUUAAUGCCCUGUUAGAAGGAAUCAUUGGAAAAAGGAGGAGACGCAGAAAAAAGGAGGAGACGCAGAUCGGCCGGGGUUCUUUCCAUAUAUAUAUAUAAAUAGUAAACAAAAGGGAAUGAGUUCACCAAAUAGACCGUUCGUAUAGACAUUUACUCGGCUUGGAUCGAUAACAAAAACAUAGAAAGCCUUAGUAAGGAACUGAUAUUGUGUUUUAAAAAGCAUUAAAACUAGAUGCACUCAUUUAUUAUGUGCUUUAUAGGCUUUCUUCGGAGCCCAGAAUUGAUGCUUAUUAGAGAAAUUACCACCCUACGUAAUAAGUUCCAUGUGUAUGUGCACACUUAAAGCUCGCCCCUUUGAAGGGUGUGGGAGGAAUAUAAGUCAUUGCUUAUGUAUCCUUUAUUUGGAGAUCUAAUGUCUGAGAUCAACGAGAACCACCUAUGAUUCUUUAUCAACCCAUCAGAUGCUAAUAAUGAAAAACUCAUGCUUUAGAAGCUGUCCUAUUAGCUAUUCUAGCCACCUAUUGUAUAUUUCAUACUUGGGAAAUGCUGUCCAAUCUGGGUCUUGAGUUCGGUAGUUCAGCCCUUUAAAAGCCACAGAGCUAUAGGUAGAAAACAUACAUACUUAUCUGAGUGCUUUGCUGAGAUGCAUCUUUCAUCUGGAUACGAUAAGUGGGUUAAUGGACUAUAUGGUGGACAGUUAUUCCCAUCGUAGCGUUGGAUGGUAGGAACUGACUUAUUGAAUGGAUUUGAUACUAUACUAUAAUGGAUUUGCUAUAAAUACUAUAGUUUGGGUCCAUAGCUUCUUUGUUGGAAUGUCCCGCUAACCGAACAUAUAUAUUGUAUUGAUUUGUUCAGAUGAAAGAAGAAAGUAGAGCUGAAGGAAGUGAUGCUAAGAAUAGCGACUUUUAGACUUCAAAUAGAUACUUAUCCAUUAGGUAUAUAAAUUCCAAGUGCUUCAGGGUUACAUACAAAUCCGUUAUGAAAGUGUUAUUCUUGCUUGUUUCCGGUUAGGAGGGAGGUCAGUCAGGUUCCGGUUAGGAGGGAGGUCAGUCAGGUUUCAUUACUUUUCCAGUAGGGUUAGCGCUUUAUGUUUGCUUGGUCGUUCGUGUCACCUACGUGCGGCUUGCACUAUUUCCUCUUCAGGGCCUACACUUGCCUUAGCUCAAGCCUUCUUACUACAAUACACAAAGCAGCUAAAAGAAAUCCACUACUUUGUUCAUCAAUCUGUUCAGCCACAGACUUCUUGCAUCUCCAUGCCCUUAACGAAGGUGCAUGCACUGAUUUCAUGGAGCUACAAACACCUCCACCGUGGGGAACGAAAUGAACUUAACUACACGUUCUUUUACCGGCGCAUUCCAGCGAAGCAAAAUGGAUAGCUCUUGCUUACUUAUAAGGAGCCCUGCAUAUAUUCUCCUCCGAUUCCGAUGAAUGACCCUAAAUGCCUUUUCCCCGUGCUCUUUCAAUGCAAAGCUUUAUGCAGUUUCAUUAUCCUAAGGGGAUAUACAAAGCCUGUUUCGAGAGGGGAAGGAAGAGGAGCACAACCGUAACCUUCGAAGCAAACAAAGCUUAGCGCUCUAAAAGCCCUAUGAUCCUGAGGGAGAGCCGGAAGUAUCGGAUAAGCUAGCAGUUUGAACCCAAAGGAAAGGCAGAGGUUUCUAAAGUGGUUGGAUUUUCCCAAGGCGGUAAAAGAAUAGGAUAGCUUGCUCUAUAGGCGGUAGGUCGGUGUAAUCAUUUUCUUAGUAUCAAAUGGAUUGCGCGCAAAGAAGAAGUUAGCCCCAUAUAGUCAUCAGUUUCAAGCCAGCGAGCUAGUCCAAAUCCGCUUUCUUUCGUUGACCAAGUUCAUCCUUUUUCUAAGGGUUUGAAAGGUGGUAAUAGACCUAAAGAAAGGGGUUGAGCUAUGGGGUUUCCUGACUUUUCUCUUACUAUUGCAGAAUGAAGCUAAACCCUUCCAUUCAUUGUAAUUUACUCGAGUGCCGGCUCAGUAGAAAGAAGGAUAUCCAUAGGGGUAAAGGGAAGCUAGAGAUAUGGACGCAAUUGCUUGAUUAGCGAGAACAUGAUCUCCUCGGGAAGCACUCGUUCCAGCUCAACAAAGGGGGUCCUCAUAGAAACAUAUAUAUAUAUAGUUAUACCAAAACAUAAAUGAUUAUGAGAAAUAGAAGCAGUUCUAAGUCAACUUAGCUCGAAAAGGAUUUAUUACUAGAAAAGAAAGACUAAUAUAAUGCGUGCAAAAGGCUGACCCCACAGGCUGACUAAAACUCUAUCGAAGCAUACAAAUUCGACUACUACUUGCUUAUUGCAGGGUCGUGAUGGACACUCUCUUCGUCUAGUCACUCUAUUAAGCUUUCGCUGCAAGUAUCUGGAAUGGGGUACGUAAAGAUUGCUAUUCAAAAGCAUCGUAAAGAAUUAUGCUUUCUAUCGGGGGAAUAGUCCGGAUAAGAUGACAAUUCUCUUUCCUUAUAUGGAUAAAGAUAUGGAUAAAGCCGUAUGUUAGGCCCACUUAUUAUUAAGGGUUGGUUGCUCGGUUUCCGCUCCUACUAAAAAAGAGUCAAUGGCAGGCUUUCAGCACCUUGCUCUUCGGGCUAAGGCAAAGAUGCUAACUUUGCAGUGGAAAGAGUAAUGAGAGGAAAGCGUUUCGAUAGGAACUCUUGAAAGCAUCACUUGCAAUUCCACCUUUUAUUGUUCUCUUGCCCCGUUGCCCAUUCAAGUAUAGAAAGAAGUUAGUGAUAAGGAAUGGCUUAGAACUCAUGAAGCUACGGAUGCAAUGCAACGUAUAUAUCGGACCAGUGCAACGUAUAUAUCGGACUUGAAACAGACAGAGAAAAGCUCUUCCAUCAGUGAAAAUAGCAUAGAGAGCAUCAUAUUAAGUUACAGAGCACUCCAGCCUUUUCUGUCCAUUCAUGUGCUGCUACUAGGGUCGUUAUGUUAUGCCACUUCCUUAGUUCCCCCCCCAUCCAAUCUUGUAUGCUCGUUACUGCCGUAAACAUAGUACUGAGUUUUGCCUGCUUCCGGCUUAGUUGGAGGAUCCUUCGGGUAAGUUUCCAAGUCUCUUCUGGAUUUAUGAAUUAUAGACUCAUAGAAUAAUAUUCUAUAAAUAAGGGUUAUUGUAUUUAUGAUAUUCUAUUUAUUAUGAUAUUCUAUUUAUUUGGAAACUAUGAUAUUUAUUGAAAUCUUAUUUCUUUCUUGGGCUUUGACCGGACAUGAAUGGACAUGCGAUAAGGUGCUCUCCCGACUCGGUUAAUGGGGUGGGCUCUUAAUCAUUCUCUGCUAGCUUUAGUAUCGGAGUACUUUGUACCAUCUAUUUUGGUGUGAUUGAUUUCUGUUCCAAAUCCUCGUCUUUCUUGAGAGUGAGUGAAUUCCAUUUAUAUCUUAUUAAAUACUAGGAAUCUGGAAGGUAGAUGGUGUGGGAAAGCAAGAAGGAAGAGAGCUAACCAGGGAAAGACCCAUGAGACAGUGUGAACUCUUUACUCCCUUCGCUAGCUCCACUCCUUGACCUAACUGAGGCUUACUCCCAGCUCUUUCUGUCUUCCCUCCCUGAACACCCAAAUACAGAAUACAAAUAAACCCAAUGAAACAGUGUGAACUCUUUACUCCCUUCGCUCUCCUUGUUCUUUCACUCCAAACAACCUUAACCAAGACAGCAGAAAAAGAACUCCCCAUUAAUAUAAGUAAGAAGACCUAACCGAGUCAACUACUAGAGAACUUGACUUUCACUCUUUACUCCCUUCGCUCUCAACAGAACAAAAAGAACUAAAUGAAACAGUGUAUAAGACCUCAGAGGAAUAACCCCAUUCAAGUGCUCUUGCUCUCUAGACCUAACCGAGUCAACCCCUAUCUUGCCUGUCCUGUGCCCUUAUUGGCUUUGGGAAAGAAUCAAUUCCUGAUGAUGCUAAUGCAGUGAUAGUUGUUGGUGACGAGAUAGUUUAUUGUGUUGGUGCUGUAGCUCCUAGUAAUAGAGUUGGGGAAAUAAGAUCUUUGCUAGGAUAAGAGGAGAGGUCUUUUACUACAUAACUUCUUACUGACGCGCAACGGGUUCACUGACGCUAUUAAUUAGGACCUGGUUAUAGUAGUAGUGACUUGUCUAGAAGUUGCUUGGCCCU